Molecule: long non-coding RNA, 715 nt
Filed under: Struthio camelus australis
Lineage: Eukaryota; Metazoa; Chordata; Aves; Struthioniformes; Struthionidae
Description: lncRNA (ENSSCUG00000007577.1)
Source: RNAcentral
GCUGGAUCCAUUAGGGGAGUGAACUGGCAAGACUGUUGAAACUGGUGUGGAUGUGCUCAAGCAUGCCAUCUGAGACUCCAAGACUUAAGCUGCAUAAAAGAAUGAGAUUUCUUUGACACGAUCACUAUUCUGUUUACUCCCUACAGAAGAAAAUGCUUUUUGAUGAAGGAAAUGUUGAAAGGCAGAACAAAGACCCAUAUCUCUUGAUUGUUAUGGGUGAACAGGAUUAGUAGAUAAACAUCAGCCUUUACUCGUUUGAUGAAAGAAGGUGAAGUGCACUGUUCGUUACUUAAUAAAGCCCAAUAGACUUUUUCAAGAAGUUUUCAAGGCUGUUUCCCAAGGAGCUGUAAGUCCUCCAGAACAGACAGAGACAUAUUCCUUAUUAAAUAAGAUACAAGACCCAGAAAGAUUCACAUAUGCCUAGCUCCUUGGAGAGGAUGAAAUAAGAAUAAGCUCUUUAAAAUCUAUUCAUUUCUCCUGGGUGAUCGGAUUCCUAGAAUGGAGUAUAAAUGAAAUUGCAGCUGGGUGUUCAGAACCUGAACCAUUUUAUACAUUUUCAAAAGCUGCUCAGCUGCCUGCUGCUGAGGCAAGCUUGAUUUUAUUCAGUCUGUGCAUGGGCUUGGAGCUCUGGGAAGGAAAUCUUUGGAAGCCUGCCUCACUCAACAAAAAUAAGGUGCCACCACAAAGGUCUAGCCUUUACUGUUGUACAUGUUAG